GCUUGGUUGAUUAGUGGCGAACGGGUGAGUAACACGUGAGUAACCUGCCCCUUACUUUCCUGGAUAACUGCUCGAAAGGGUAGCUAAUACGGGAUAUUCUGACCAGCCUGCAUGGGUUGGUUUGGAAAGGUUGUUUUUCUGGUAAGGGAUGGGCUCGCGGCCUAUCAGCUUGUUGGUGGGGUGAUGGCCUACCAAGGCUUUGACGGGUAGCCGGCCUGUGAGGGUGGACGGUCACACUGGGACUGAGAUACGGCCCAGACUCCUACGGGAGGCAGCAGUGGGGAAUAUUGCACAAUGGGCGCAAGCCUGAUGCAGCGACGCCGCGUGAGGGAUGAAGGCCUUCGGGUUGUAAACCUCUUUCGUCAGGGAACAAGGCACUACGUUUUGGUGGUGUUGAGGGUACCUGGAUAAGAAGCGCCGGCUAACUACGUGCCAGCAGCCGCGGUAAUACGUAGGGCGCAAGCGUUGUCCGGAAUUAUUGGGCGUAAAGAGCUCGUAGGCGGCUGGUCGCGUCUGUCGUGAAAACUUCCGGCUCAACCGGGGGCUUGCGGUGGGUACGGGCCGGCUAGAGUGCGGUAGGGGUAACUGGAACUCCUGGUGUAGCGGUGGAAUGCGCAGAUAUCAGGAAGAACACCGAUGGCGAAGGCAGGUUACUGGGCCGUUACUGACGCUGAGGAGCGAAAGCGUGGGGAGCGAACAGGAUUAGAUACCCUGGUAGUCCACGCCGUAAACGUUGGGCACUAGGUGUGAGGCUCCUUUCCGGGGUUUUGCGCCGUAGCUAACGCA
This 786-nucleotide ribosomal RNA is filed under the name uncultured Actinomyces sp. RNAcentral describes it as "bacterial SSU rRNA". It matches the Rfam family "Bacterial small subunit ribosomal RNA", at positions 82 to 859 of the family's 1533-position model. The record is from RNAcentral. Lineage: Bacteria; Bacillati; Actinomycetota; Actinomycetes; Actinomycetales; Actinomycetaceae.